Pelobates cultripes (western spadefoot toad) is the source of this 1147-nucleotide non-coding RNA. The record is from the annotation of a GenBank genome assembly. NCBI's taxonomy places the organism in Eukaryota, Metazoa, Chordata, Amphibia, Anura, Pelobatidae.
CAGUAAUGUUAUCACAAAGUAUUUAAAGGAACCUAGUCUGAUGAGCCUUCCAUAUAUGCUGCUAAAAAGGAAAAUUGGGACUACCCUUUGAGGCACACAUUGUAUCAAACUAAGGCAACCUAACAUUGUUGAACUACAAAUCAAAUACAUUCCCUCCCAUCUUUUCCUGCCCCUGAGAUUUCUUUGGCUCAUGGUUUUCUCUGCUCCCUAACAGGAGUACAUUUUUCUGGGGUUCUAUACAUCACAUGUAUAUAAUGGACAUUCAUUGUUCAGAAGCAUUACUAAACCCCUUUCCAUUGCCAAGGUUACAAGUUUAAUGACAUGGAUUCUGAAAGUUUAAUACACAUGGCAAAGGUGAUUCUCAUCAUAAGUACAGAGCAUGUAUUUAGUUAGGGAAGUUAAGGCAUGUAUUUUUGGAGGCAGAGUGCCCCACCGUGCAAUAAUUUUCACAAAUAAAUUUACUCAAAAGGUCUCCAAGUCAUACUUGUGUUCACCCGUUCUACAUUUCAGUCACCUUUUUUAUGUUUUAUUUCAUUGCCUACUUUUCAUUUGAGUUACCCAUUCUCCCCUUUUGUUCUUCCCCUUCUUUUAAGUAUUCUCCUUAACACCUGCAUCAUGUUCCUUCCAACUUAAUUUUAUAGCAACGCCUUUCCCCCUUCCUUAUUAUGUCAACCCUUCUCUAUUUCAGCUCCAUUCCCUAUUGGACCUCAUUCCACUCUUGUAAUUUUUCCUCCCCUUUUCUUCUUGGACCUAGAUUACUACUUGUUCUAUCUUAACGUAUACUGCCUACCAGUUCCACCUUAAUCCUGUACCACUUUCAACAUCUGCAAUAUCAGUCUGGAGAUAGGGGACAUGUGAGCUUAACAUCUACAGUUGGGAAAUUGUGUGAAGGGUUGCUAAGGCAUAGUAAUCAUAUAUUUAUUGUAACCAACAUAAUUAGUAGUAAUGGAAAUAAUGAAAGGUUAAGUCUUGAUUUGCUUAAACUAAUUUGAUUAUAUGAGGAAGUCAGAAGUAUAGAUCCAUACAAUGCAGUGGAUUUGAUCCAUUUGGAUUUUGGGAUAAGGAAUACUCAACCAACACAAAAUGGUGUAGAUGUUACAGAAAACAAUAAAUGAGAAGGAGUUGGGCAUAGCAUCAGACAACUGAC